Molecule: ribosomal RNA, 496 nt
Filed under: uncultured bacterium
Lineage: Bacteria
Description: partial 16S ribosomal RNA
Rfam family: Bacterial small subunit ribosomal RNA
Source: RNAcentral
GGUGAACGCUGGCGGCGUGCCUAAUACAUGCAAGUCGAGCGAACAGACGAGGAGCUUGCUCCUCUGACGUUAGCGGCGGACGGGUGAGUAACACGUGGAUAACCUACCUAUAAGACUGGGAUAACUUCGGGAAACCGGAGCUAAUACCGGAUAAUAUAUUGAACCGCAUGGUUCAAUAGUGAAAGACGGUUUUGCUGUCACUUAUAGAUGGAUCCGCGCCGCAUUAGCUAGUUGGUAAGGUAACGGCUUACCAAGGCAACGAUGCGUAGCCGACCUGAGAGGGUGAUCGGCCACACUGGAACUGAGACACGGUCCAGACUCCUACGGGAGGCAGCAGUAGGGAAUCUUCCGCAAUGGGCGAAAGCCUGACGGAGCAACGCCGCGUGAGUGAUGAAGGUCUUCGGAUCGUAAAACUCUGUUAUUAGGGAAGAACAAAUGUGUAAGUAACUAUGCACGUCUUGACGGUACCUAAUCAGAAAGCCACGGCUAACUACGU